AUUUGGUAAGCGCUUACAGACACCUCCAUAAAAUUUUAGGUGAGAAUUCGGCUUGCGGGAUUAAUGUAAAAUAAUGUUUUGGUUGAGAAAAAUCUUCACACCACUGCGUUGUUCUUGCUGAAAUUUCGUGGUAACUGUUGGAAUCUCGCGUUCCAACUACCUGUCAUAAACGGGACGUUUUAAAACGAGCGACCAGUACACGAACAAGGCACGAAGCGUAACAGGAAAAAAGCGUUAAAAAGGGCCGCAAGAUAGGAACGAGCCUUUUCUAAACCAAUCGCGAAAAAACGGACAAAUUUUUUGGCGCGUAAUAAGAUAAUAAAUCGUUUUUGGCAAGAGAUUUCAUCCGCUUUGGUUUUAGUUCCCAACAUUCCAAUAAAUUUGGUUCGAUAAAUCCAAACACAUGUUGAUUCGAUAAAUCCAAAAUAAAUUGGAUUUGGAAAUUCGUCAAACGAUUUCGUGUACGGCAUUCCUCGUUCGUCGUGUAGUUUCGCGAGUCGAAAAAAUAAAUCACGCGCGGUGUGUGUCGAAGUGCCUGUGACCAAAAAGUGCAAUGGAGCAGCAGCAAUUGCGUGGUAUGCCAAGGGCAGAGCCGGCUACCACAGGGACUGUCCAAGGGACAGAACGUGUCAACGUUUACACUAGCCCCCGCGGAGCAUCGUCCACCCCAGGAGCAUUGCGCGAGACUCUCUCCCCGUCAGAAGGUUCCACUGUGGAAUAUGUGUACGAGUGGGCAGCAAGUAAGGCGGAAAAAUUGCAGCAGUACCAGCCAACCUAGUUCGAAGAUGACGCCCGGAGGCGCGUUCCUCAAGAAGGAAGUAAGACCCCUCAACAAGGAGCGUCGAGUAAGACAGGUGAGGCAAGUGGUAACGGUCCGGCAAAUCCAGAUCGAGACGAGGAAGAGACGCUGUCAGCGUCUGAAAGUGCACGAUGGGAAAGUGAGGAGCGGCACAGACGGCGUAUUGUGCAUGAACGCGAGCUGCUAAAGCUCGAUAUUGCGGAAGCGCAAACUGGCGAGACCGCCAUCGCGCAGCCCCCGAACACUUUGGGACGAAAAGAGAAAGAGUUUCAAGAGUGGGUCCGCGACAUGGAGAAUUCCAUGCGCCAGCCCAUUCGCGACAAGGAUGGCCGUUCACGGGGUCAACAUCCUGUGGUUCAACACCCCGACGCGAGAAUCACACGCACACCAAAUCCUCACACGAUACAAUAUGGCCACGACACGUACGCAACACAACAGGAUGCAGGGUACGCGACACACAUGCACCCCCAACCGGCAUUAUCGCGCGAUUUUUAUGUGUAUCUAUCAUUUUUCUCAUUCUAACAUUCAGAAAAAUUUUCGUUCUGCCUCGCUCUUCUGGGUGUUGGUCUGGUUUUGCUUGCAACUUUUCUGUGUCACAUCAAACAUUCUCAUGUUUCAUAUGGCUCUUCUCUUUCCAUCGUUAGAGAGAAACUCUUGCGUCUCGCUUUUCUGGGACUUAUCCAAUUUCGCUUGCUACACCAAUCGUUCACGCAAGCGUUCUCUCUCCCGCUCUUUGUAUCAUUGUACAGGUACUCCCCGAUAUACGCUAUCAAUGCGGACCGGAGGCAAUAGCGUAUCUCGAGUAUUAUCGAAAGCCAAAUUUCGAGGUUUUCAGUCAAAUUAUAGCUUAUUUUCGUAUAAUUUUGCAUGAAGUGGUAGGUUUUAGCCACUAAAUUAGUUAUUUGAUCUGAUUUCAACUGAAGAUUACAAUGUUAUACCUUUUGAAAUGGUUUUUAAUAUUCAACCAAAAGGGAAUUUAUUUUCCAAUUUACAUUCCAUUUCUCAAAUUAGUACAAUUUCUUCAAGAACUGUCAAAUUAAAAAAAAGCGUAUAGCGAAAUCACGUAUUUCGAGUCUGGCGUAUAUCGAGGAAUACCUGUAUAUCCACACGAGGAAGGCGCUGCUUCGCGUUCUCAUGAAAAAGUGGUAGUAUGAAAUCAAGUUUGCAAGCAGAAGAACCGCUUGAAAUCAAGUUUGCCAGUCGAUGCGUGGUCGUUUUUUCUCUCGCGAAACCACUACGAAAAAAACUAUUUGAAAUCCACGAAAUUCUAUAGAACACACGCACGAACGGAAGUGAGCACGGACCACGAUAGAAACAAUAUUCAAUUGAUUGGAGUGCCGAAAACAACAGAACAAGAGAGGAAAGAAGGCAGGAACGAUCCUCCAACGUGCUAGCGCCUGGUAGAGGAGAAGCGGCAGGAAGGUAGAGGCGAUCAUCCAGCGCGCUAGCGCAGCAUGUGAGAGCAGCGAGAGGGAGGCAAGUAGGAAGAAUUUUUAACGUGUGGACACCAUUCGACGAAGACAACGCUGGAUUAAAGGAAGAACGAGGGCGUAAGACGGGUACGUGUGUAUCUCGCACGGGUGUUCGGCAGUGUGAAUUGUGUGAGUAUUGAAAAGUGUAUGUGUGAGUAGAGGUAAAGAGGUAAAAUAAAGAGCGAAUGUGUAGAACGGAAAAAUGAGAGAGAGUCUGUGUUUGUUUUGGGAGAGAGGAGAGAAUGAAAGAUCGCGAUUUAGUUUUAAGCGUCGAUGUGUUCCAAACUAAUUUUUUGGAAUGUUAGAAACUGGCGCUCUAACCAAAAAAAAGAGAACAAAGUGAAUUUGUUAGGUAAGCACUGAGGGUGCACCAAAAAAUUAGUUUUUUUUCUUUAUUCUCUGUUAUCUUCGCUCUUGGGUGUUUUUAUCGCAAUUGAUCGUUUCCGCGGUUUUUCUGCCUUUUUAACUGCUUGCGCACACACAAAACAUCGCCUUAGCUGACAGUUUGUUGGAACCUUAUAACAGUUUCCAACAUGAAGAGAA
Anopheles arabiensis is the source of this 2814-nucleotide long non-coding RNA. RefSeq lists it as uncharacterized. The transcript has 3 exons. The record is from RefSeq and is a predicted model, not a curated record. Lineage: Eukaryota; Metazoa; Arthropoda; Insecta; Diptera; Culicidae.